CCAGCACUCAGGACGUGGCAAAUUCCAGCAGCUCUCACUCGGCCUGUGUUAGGAGCCUGCCUACCGAACAUCAGUCAGAGGCUUCAGGGUGUCAAACUCUUUUAAGCAAGUGGAACAAAAGCCAUUUUGGUUCAUCCUGAUUACUUGAACGAUACACUCAAUGCCCUGUAUCUGGGAGCACUUGCGGAGGUGUCCUGGCCCUAGAGGGCUACUUCAAUGUCUCGACUGACAGAAACUCUUGUGUGUUAAAUGAAGCUCAAAGUUCUCUAGGAAGGAGUCCUCAGAAUGGCAUGUAUUGGGCCACUAGCAGGGAUUGAAAACAUUUUAACAGAAAUCCUUUUUCUUAGGCGUAAAAGCUGAUAAAAGGGGUGACUUCCUGGUUCUGAUCAAAACCAAACCAAACCCUCAUUGCAGCAAAGCCUUGCAAGACAACUCCCUUGCUCAUUUGCCAUAUUUAGAUGCCUUAGUGGAGUCAGAGCCAUGUUUGGUAUGUGUUUUCCAUGAGCUAAGUCUAAUUUGUCUUUUCAUCUCAUGAUGCAUUUUUUCUCUUUUGUCAGGAUAACAUCAUAUAGCAUCUUAUUUGUUCUUCCUAAUCUCUAUGUACAUAUCUAUCUACCUGUAACCGUAGAUAGCUAUCUAGAUAGACACCAAGCUUCUUAUACUCCGGGCUAGUAUGCAUCAUUAUCGGGUCUCUGCCUUAAAACACAUCCAAAUUUAUAUUAAAAAAAAAAAAACUAUAGAUUUUCUUUGGUCACUAGGGUUCCAAAUCAUACUGUGUCACUGAUCAUAUAUAUGAUACGCUUUACGUGAUCAUACUUGCUUAUAUAUGAUGUUUCCAUAUAUGUGCUGUGUGUUUAAGUUUUAUAUCAUCCAGACUGAUAACCAAAUUUUAAUGCUUUUUUAUAUCAAAACAGAAAACACACAUAAGCACACAAGACAGGAGUGCUAAGAUACUGUUUAGCAUUUGCUCUGCUGCCUAUUUUUGUCUGUGUUUUUAAUUAACGAUUGGAUUGUAUUGGAAGGAGAAAAAGCAGUUUCAUUAUUUUGGAUGAUGAUGCAGAGACUCAUGUUAAUGAACUCGAAAAUGGUGUUGCUUCAUGUACUUUGAAAACCAAUCAGGUGUUUUGUGCGCUUCUACUUAUCAUGUUGCAUUCAUGUUCACAUCCUGAUUUCAGUGCCUCAGAUAUGCCUGGCCACAAAAGCACUCUGAAUUAAUUGCUAAAGGGAAGCAACAACAUGCGUGUGUGUGGAGGGGGGUUGGGGGGUCUCAUCACAUACAUGUACCAUUGUUUGAUCUUAGCACUGUGAUUUGCUUUUGACGUCUGUCCUAGUGAUGUGUGUUGUCUGCUGGCAUGCUCAUAGCACAUGUCCAUUAAAGGUCAUUUUGUUCCUUUAUUUGUUGGCAUGCUUAUAGCACAUGUCCAUUAAAGUUCAUUUUGUCCUUUUAUUUUCAUUGUUUUCUUGGUUAGUGAUUUCAUUUGCAUAAACAUUAAUUUUCUCUGCAUACUGGUGUGGGGUUUUCUCUUUCUUUCUAACUCCAAAGAAAAAAUUUUUGCUGCAGAAUUUCCAUCAGAAGAAACUUCCCUUGUCUUCAACUACCUUGAAGUGUGACCAGCUCUGAUAAAUUAUAGCCAUUUCCAGAUAAACUUCUGCCCACCCAGCACUAGUGGUUUCCAUGUCAAAGCUGCAGCACUAAAUUUUUUUUAACCUGGUGUCUGUACCUACUAACCCAUGUGUCUCCACUCACACUGGCUCAGGCCUUCCACACCAACUCACACAUGCUCCGUAUAUGAGUUUCCUGAGAUCCCACUAGGAGAGAUUUGUCAACUGUAAGGUCCCUCAGCAUUCUUUUGACUUGGGCUUUGGUUACUUCCCCUCCUCCAACUUGCCCAUAACAGCAAAAAGAGAAUCCAGGUAUAGUGGGAUAUACUUGCAAGCAGAAGCUCUGGCAGGAGGAUUGGGAGUUUGAGCCCAUCCUGGGCAACAAAGCAAAGAGAGGAGGGGAAAAAAGUAGUAGCCUGUUGCUCAAACCAUGCCCGUGGGCUGCUGCCGUCAUAGCCAGGCCAACUGAGUACUCUGUCCCCCACCGUGUGCCCUGUUAAUCCACUUACCAUAUUGGUAUGAGAAUAGAGAAUUUUAAUAAAAAACAACCUUAAGAUUACAUAGUCUCCAGUCAUACCCUAAACCUUGAUGCUAAUUAUGCUAGUUUACAUAAACUUAUCAUUUCAUGCCCUUCUACCAAGUUCACGUGACCAUUUUUCAGAUAGUUAGCCUUGUUUUAAAUAAUCAGGGUCCAUCAAUCUAGAUAAGACUUAGGCAAGAGAGUUGACAGAUCUGAGUGUUAAGUGGUGGUGGUCAGUCUACUGCUUAUACUGCCAAGGUUGCUGCUAACUGGGUGUCACUCUGACUCUGGGCAGCAGUGGUGGGGACUGUAGCUAAUGACUGUGCCAUUGGUAAUUCCAUGUUGUCUGUGUAUGAGGGGUGCAGGUUGUCUGUAAUCUACUAAAGCAUCAGCCACACCCAGCUUUAGUAACUUGCUAAUCCGUGCCCUGGGUAUAUCAGCCAGGGGCUGCUACAGUUAAUGGUACACAGUUGAUGGUACACAGGCCGAAAACGAUUAAGAAUCAAGACCCUACUACAUUUCCAAAGCCGAAAAACCGUGUGGGUUACAAUUUAAGUGAGCUUGGGAAGGAACGCUCCUGAAGACGUCUCCAGACUGAAGGGUCAAAGCCGCUGGAAGCCUGGCUGUCUCUGGGCUCCCGUCUCAGUGCAGCAAGGCACCGUGAUCAACCACCCGUGAUGGGGAAGGCCCUGGUUCAGUCUUUGUUUGGGGAUGGCAGGAACCAUGGAAACAAGUGAAAUGGUCAACGGUGCUGCUGAGCAGAGGACAAGCUCCAAAGAAUCCAGUCCUGUUCCUUCUCCCACCUCGGACCGCAAGGCCAAAUCUGCACUUCCAGCCCAGAGUGCUGCCACCCUGCCAGCCAGGACCCUGGAGACGCCUGCGGCCCAGAUGGAAGGCUUCCUCAAUCGGAAGCACGAGUGGGAGGCCCACAAUAAGAAAGCCUCAAGCAGGUAAAGACAGCAGCACAGGGGAAAGAGGGGAGGGAAGUCACCCGUGUGGAGGGGGCCCAGCGUCAUGCAGGAUUGGCAUUCAGAAGGUCAGAGCUUUUCAUUCUGC
RNAcentral lists this long non-coding RNA (3178 nucleotides) under Rattus norvegicus (Norway rat). Its description in RNAcentral is "long non-coding RNA NONRATT010211". The record is from RNAcentral. Lineage: Eukaryota; Metazoa; Chordata; Mammalia; Rodentia; Muridae.